This 89-nucleotide transfer RNA is filed under the name Streptococcus pneumoniae. RNAcentral describes it as "tRNA-Gly". It matches the Rfam family "tRNA". From Rfam's summary of the family: Transfer RNA (tRNA) molecules are approximately 80 nucleotides in length. Their secondary structure includes four short double-helical elements and three loops (D, anti-codon, and T loops). Further hydrogen bonds mediate the characteristic L-shaped molecular structure. tRNAs have two regions of fundamental functional importance: the anti-codon, which is responsible for specific mRNA codon recognition, and the 3' end, to which the tRNAs corresponding amino acid is attached (by aminoacyl-tRNA synthetases). tRNAs cope with the degeneracy of the genetic code in two manners: having more than one tRNA (with a specific anti-codon) for a particular amino acid; and 'wobble' base-pairing, i.e. permitting non-standard base-pairing at the 3rd anti-codon position. Lineage: Bacteria; Bacillati; Bacillota; Bacilli; Lactobacillales; Streptococcaceae. The record is from RNAcentral.
AAGGCUGUAGUUUUACCACUAAACUACACCCGCUAAAAUGGGAACUACAGCCUUCCAAGCUGUUGUCGCGAGUUCGAUUCUCGUCACCC